Molecule: ribosomal RNA, 439 nt
Filed under: uncultured bacterium
Lineage: Bacteria
Description: partial 16S ribosomal RNA
Rfam family: Bacterial small subunit ribosomal RNA
Source: RNAcentral
CUACGGGCUGCUGCAGUGAGGAAUAUUGCGCAAUGGGGGAAACCCUGACGCAGCGACGCCGCGUGGAGGAUGACGCAUUUCGGUGUGUAAACUCCUUUUAUAUGUCAAGAAAAUGACGGUAGCAUAUGAAUAAGCACCGGCUAACUCCGUGCCAGCAGCCCCGGUAAUACGGAGGGUGCAAGCGUUACUCGGAAUCACUGGGCGUAAAGGACGCGUAGGCGGGUUGGAAAGUCAGGUGUGAAAUCCUACAGCUUAACUGUAGAACUGCACUUGAAACUUCUAAUCUAGAGUAUGGGAGGGGGAGAUGGAAUUAGUGGUGUAGGGGUAAAAUCCGUAGAUAUCACUAGGAAUACCUAAAGCGAAGGCGAUCUCCUGGAACAUUACUGACGCUAAGGCGUGAAAGCGUGGGGAGCAAACAGGAUUAGAUACCCCAGUAGUC